Molecule: ribosomal RNA, 627 nt
Filed under: Salmonella enterica
Lineage: Bacteria; Pseudomonadati; Pseudomonadota; Gammaproteobacteria; Enterobacterales; Enterobacteriaceae
Also listed under: 3 other names
Description: partial 23S ribosomal RNA
Rfam family: Bacterial large subunit ribosomal RNA
Source: RNAcentral
GGUUAAGCGACUAAGCGUACACGGUGGAUGCCCUGGCAGUCAGAGGCGAUGAAGGGCGUGCUAAUCUGCGAUAAGCGCCGGUAAGGUGAUAUGAACCGUUAUAACCGGCGAUACCCGAAUGGGGAAACCCAGUGUGAUUCGUCACACUAUCAUUAACUGAAUCCAUAGGUUAAUGAGGCGAACCGGGGGAACUGAAACAUCUAAGUACCCCGAGGAAAAGAAAUCAACCGAGAUUCCCCCAGUAGCGGCGAGCGAACGGGGAGGAGCCCAGAGCCUGAAUCAGCAUGUGUGUUAGUGGAAGCGUCUGGAAAGGCGCGCGAUACAGGGUGACAGCCCCGUACACAAAAGCGCAUGUGCUGUGAGCUCGAUGAGUAGGGCGGGACACGUGGUAUCCUGUCUGAAUAUGGGGGGACCAUCCUCCAAGGCUAAAUACUCCUGACUGACCGAUAGUGAACCAGUACCGUGAGGGAAAGGCGAAAAGAACCCCGGCGAGGGGAGUGAAAAAGAACCUGAAACCGUGUACGUACAAGCAGUGGGAGCACAGGUUUACCUGUGUGACUGCGUACCUUUUGUAUAAUGGGUCAGCGACUUAUAUUCUGUAGCAAGGUUAACCGAAUAGGGGAGCCG